CGACCUGAGAUCAGAC
Molecule: ribosomal RNA, 16 nt
Filed under: Aulodrilus acutus
Lineage: Eukaryota; Metazoa; Annelida; Clitellata; Tubificida; Naididae
Description: partial 28S ribosomal RNA
Source: RNAcentral